This 482-nucleotide ribosomal RNA is filed under the name uncultured bacterium. RNAcentral describes it as "bacterial SSU rRNA". It matches the Rfam family "Bacterial small subunit ribosomal RNA", at positions 23 to 507 of the family's 1533-position model. The record is from RNAcentral.
CUCAGGACGAACGCUGGCGGCAACGCUUAACACAUGCAAGUCGAACGAAGAUGUUCACCGUAGCUUGCUACACCGAGACAUUUUAGUGGCGGACGGGUGAGUAACACGUGAGCAAUCUGCCCUUGUGUGGGGGAUACCGUCUGGAAACGGACGUUAAUACCGCAUAAUGUAGUGAGAUCGCAUGGUCUUAUUACCAAAGAUUUAUUGCACAAGGAUGGGCUCGCGUUGGAUUAGGUAGUUGGUGAGGUAACGGCUCACCAAGCCGACGAUCAGUAGCCGGACUGAGAGGUUGACCGGCCACAUUGGAACUGAGAUACGGUCCAGACUCCUACGGGAGGCAGCAGUGGGGAAUAUUGGGCAAUGGGCGAAAGCCUGACCCAGCAACGCCGCGUGAAGGAAGAAGGCCUUCGGGUUGUAAACUUCUUUUACCAGGGACGAAGAACGUGACGGUACCUGGAGAAAAAGCAACGGCUAACUACGUG